UGAGGAAUAUUGGGCAAUGGAGGAAACUCUGACCCAGCAACGCCGCGUGAAGGAAGAAGGUUUUCGGAUUGUAAACUUCUGUUAUAGGGGAAAAAGAAAGUGAUGGUACCCUAUGAGCAAGCUACGGCAAACUAUGUGCCAGCAGCCGCGGUAAUACAUAGGUAGCAAGCGUUAUCCGGAAUAACUGGGUGUAAAGGGAGUGUAGGUGGAUGUGCAAGUAUUAUGUGAAAGCCCACGGCUUAACUGUGGGAUUGCAUAAUAAACUACAUAUCUAGAGUACGAGAGAGGCAAGUGGAAUUCCUAGUGUAGCGGUAGAAUGCGUAGAGAUUAGGAGGAACACCGGAGGCGAAGGCGGCUUGCUGGCUCGCAACUGACACUGAGACUCGAAAGUGUGGGGAGCAAACAGG
RNAcentral lists this ribosomal RNA (407 nucleotides) under uncultured bacterium. RNAcentral describes it as "bacterial SSU rRNA". It matches the Rfam family "Bacterial small subunit ribosomal RNA", at positions 355 to 776 of the family's 1533-position model. The record is from RNAcentral.